UCAAAUGGUGUUUGUCGAUUUUAAAAACUCCCAAGUAAAGCUAUUAUUAAUUUUAUGUACUUGUAUCUGUUGAAAUUCUACCCUCCUGAAUUCUUCAAAGGUACACGUACAAUCAAGGUGUUUCUGUUUAAUUGAGACUUAACAAUAAAUAAUCCAAGCAACACUUUGUAUUAUUUAUAAGUGUUCAAACAAUACAACGAUUACACGACUACGUAACCUAAGGAAUUAUAAACUAAUUCCUUUCUACCCCAAGACACAAAACUCCCUAGUUUUGUAUCUUCUAAGCUCUUCAUAAACUACAACUUGUCAAGCAACUCCCACUCACAAAACUCAUAUUGUAAACAAGACUCUUGAAUACAUUCUUACAAUUAUUCACUCAACUCACAGCACUCCCAAGUAAUAUCAAAACUCUUGAUCGUGUUUUGACCUUCUCUCUUUGUAAAUGCACAAUUUUCUCAAGCGAAACUAAUGCCCUAUUUAUAGAUUUGGAACUUCAGCAAGUUCUUGUUUGAUUCAACUUUGUCUUUGCCGCUACACAAACCUUGUUGAACUCAACUUGGACUCCUAUUCAACAUUACUUUUAAAAAGUAACCUUCUUUACUUAAACCUAGUCGAACCCAACUUCGAUUAAGUAAUAACUGCUACAAACGCGCUUUACUUAAACCUAGUCGAACCCAACUAGAAAUAAGUAAUAACUUCUACAAACGCGCUUUCUGAUUUAAACUUGGAUUCAUCAAAAAUGUGUUACUGUCUGCCUGCUCUACGCAACCUGUUUUAUGCAACUUUGCCAUAGUUCAAAACGUCUUUCACAAUUUCCUUGUUUUUGGAAAUAGCAAAUAUUUGUGCUGCUUGCAUUGAAUAGGUAAGUAAACAGUACCUUCUUCCCCCUUUUGACAUUAGAAAAAAAUCAAUAUAUCGAAUAGUUCCAAUCCUAUAAGGGAAUAGUAGAAAAAAAACAAGUGCCAGACAUUAGUUACACAAUAAAACUAAGAACCAAAAAACAACAUUAUCCAUCAAAAGCAAAGAUGAAAACUACAAGCUUACAUAUUAAACACAAAAACUCAACACCAUGCACAUUGAGAUUUAGACUUGAUCAGAAGGAGGAAAAGGGCAUGAAGAGGAGGAAACACCCUUUGAGAGUAAAACAAAGACAUUCUUUAGAUGCUCUGAAUUGACAUCCUUUCAUAUUCUAAAGCAAUAUGAGUCUGAGUCAAUUCUUCCUUGACUUGACAAUUCUGAGCACGCAACUUCACAAGUUCCUCCGCAUGUGUACGACGAAGUUGAUCCAUUCUUCUGAGUGAGCCUUAAUCAAGGUAUUUAUCUCCUGAUCCUUUGCAGUCAGGGUUGAUUUCAAUCUUUGCACACACACAUUAGUCCCUUUCUUAUUCUCAGGUAUAGUAGCAAGAUCCAUUUCUCCCAAGACAUCACUGAUAGACUGAAUUUGCCACUCAGUAACGGGAACAUUGAAAUACUUAAACACCAUACCUAACAAGAACCCAUAUGCCAAUGCACGCUUUUUUUCAUCAAGCACACACACGCCAUGUAUAUGACUAAGAAUUAAAGCAUGCAAAUUAAUUUGGAGUUUUGAUAGUAACAACUCCAUAAGAGUAAGAUCCAAGUAGUUUGCUUCUGUCCUCUUUUGCUUUCUAGGUAUAAUUAUUUUAUGCACUACAUCAAACAAUAGUUUGUGCAAAGUUAAAAUAGCUCCCUUAUCAAUCGUGGUGUACUCAGUCAAAGUAGGAUAUUGGAAAAUCGACGGCAUAUGUCAAUGGUAGAGGUAUUUCCUUCCAAUGAUGGCCAAUCUAUCUUAACAUGGUGAUCCCAACCCUUCUUUGGUACCCCAAGUAUAGAUGAUAGAUUCUCAGCAGUGAGGGUAAAGGACACACCACUAACUGUACUUGUUGCCUCCCCUAUUGCAUUAAUGUAAAACUCCCUAGUUUCUUUUCUUCCCAUUCUUCGCCUAUGAGUACCUAGUAGGAACAGGUCAAUCUCUCCUUGAACUUAUAACAAAACCAGUAGUUCCCUCAUGUCGUUACCCAACCCCAGAGAUCACUCUUCCCUAAUUACACUUCUUCCUCUAAAGGUUUCAACCCCAUCAGAGUCUAUUACUGUAGAGUCUUUGAGACCAGAUUGACUUAAAGAGGUAUUUUUUCUUUUCCUUUUCUUCUUACAUUCCACAAUGUCAUCAUCAAUAUGAAUAGGGUUAAAAGGAUAAACAGACUUACGCUUCAUAGAACGAGUCUUCUUAGUGUAUUUUGUCAAAAGUUCUGCAUCCCUGAUACGCUAUACUGAAUGAUUUACUCGAACAGGUUUAUUGAUUGUUGAUCUAGGGAUUGGGUUUUCUUCCGGCAUGAUCAUUGCAAUGGUUUGGCGAGAGGUUACACUUCGUCGGGACCUAAGUCACUUUUGCAGAAACGUCGGAUGGAUUUAAUGGCUUGUAGAAAGAUUAUGGCGUUCGUGGCUAGACAAGUUGAUGUAUUCCUGUCAGAAGCUGGUGAGUCUUUAUCAGAGGACUUCAUGGAUUAGAUAGUUGUUGGACUUAUCAUUAAUUCUAUUGUUUGUUUUUAAGGUAGUUCGAGGUCAUGUCAGGACAUACUUAUUUCUUUAAUUUUAGAUCAUGAACGAUUUAUUCA
This is a long non-coding RNA of Solanum lycopersicum (tomato), 2633 nucleotides long. RefSeq lists it as uncharacterized. The record is from RefSeq and is a predicted model, not a curated record. NCBI's taxonomy places the organism in Eukaryota, Viridiplantae, Streptophyta, Magnoliopsida, Solanales, Solanaceae.